Molecule: unclassified non-coding RNA, 493 nt
Filed under: Hevea brasiliensis (rubber tree)
Lineage: Eukaryota; Viridiplantae; Streptophyta; Magnoliopsida; Malpighiales; Euphorbiaceae
Source: RNAcentral
GAGGAUUGAUGAGAUGUAUCAGGUGAAUUUGAUUCUUGAUAACUUGCCUGCUAUUCGUUAUACCAAGAAGGAGAAUUACUUCUUGCGUUGGACGGGGUAUCCUGUUGGGAUUAAGGUGCAAGAUGCAUAUUAUGUGUUUAAUCAUUUAAAGUUUACGGUUCUCGUUCAUAAAUUUGAGGAGACCAAUGUGGCUCGUGUGAUGGGUACCGGGGAUGGAUCAGAGGUGAUUUCGACAGUAGGAAAUGAAGGAUCUGAUGCACCUGGAUAUAUGGUUGUUGGAUUUGAGGUUGUACCUUGUAGUUUCCAGCAUACGCCUGAUUCGUUGAAGAAUCUAAAAAUGUACAAUAAGCUCCCAUCUCCAAUCAAGUGUGACCCGACGACUGUGUCCAUGGCUAUUAAAGAAAAUGAACCUGUGAGUUUUACUUAUGAGGUGAACUUUGUGGAGAGUGACAUCAAGUGGCCGUCGAGAUGGGAUGCUUAUUUGAAGAUGGAA